This 641-nucleotide ribosomal RNA is filed under the name Escherichia coli. RNAcentral describes it as "partial 23S ribosomal RNA". It matches the Rfam family "Bacterial large subunit ribosomal RNA", at positions 288 to 934 of the family's 2925-position model. Lineage: Bacteria; Pseudomonadati; Pseudomonadota; Gammaproteobacteria; Enterobacterales; Enterobacteriaceae. The record is from RNAcentral.
GAACGGGGAGCAGCCCAGAGCCUGAAUCAGUGUGUGUGUUAGUGGAAGCGUCUGGAAAGGCGCGCGAUACAGGGUGACAGCCCCGUACACAAAAAUGCACAUGCUGUGAGCUCGAUGAGUAGGGCGGGACACGUGGUAUCCUGUCUGAAUAUGGGGGGACCAUCCUCCAAGGCUAAAUACUCCUGACUGACCGAUAGUGAACCAGUACCGUGAGGGAAAGGCGAAAAGAACCCCGGCGAGGGGAGUGAAAAAGAACCUGAAACCGUGUACGUACAAGCAGUGGGAGCACAGAGCAAUCUGUGUGACUGCGUACCUUUUGUAUAAUGGGUCAGCGACUUAUAUUCUGUAGCAAGGUUAACCGAAUAGGGGAGCCGAAGGGAAACCGAGUCUUAACUGGGCGUUAAGUUGCAGGGUAUAGACCCGAAACCCGGUGAUCUAGCCAUGGGCAGGUUGAAGGUUGGGUAACACUAACUGGAGGACCGAACCGACUAAUGUUGAAAAAUUAGCGGAUGACUUGUGGCUGGGGGUGAAAGGCCAAUCAAACCGGGAGAUAGCUGGUUCUCCCCGAAAGCUAUUUAGGUAGCGCCUCGUGAAUUCAUCUCCGGGGGUAGAGCACUGUUUCGGCAAGGGGGUCAUCCCGA